GACUUCCCACAUCCCGUAAACGCGGACAUAGUUAAAAAAUACUACGCAUAAAAGAGACCCGCUAGAUCGACGUAUCUAGGCAAAAGUAAGGGCAUCCCGGCGAACCAAAAGGGUUCGGGCAAAAAUUAGGGAUAUAUAAAAAAAAAUGUACACCCGGCAAGUCGAAAACCUGAAAAGGCGGCUUGGGCAAAAAAGGGUAUCCUGGUGGACUGAAAACCUGAAAAGGCGGUCCAGGCAAAAAUUAGGGAUUAAAGCGUAUGACUAUGUCCCGUUCUUAGUCAACUUCAUCCAAGUUCAAGGGACUGAACAAGCCAAUCACUUCUAUCCGACAGCAGGGGAUGAGAUGCUUGAAGACAUAAUGACAGUAGUAGACUUAAAAUCAAUAGGACUUCUUCCACAUAGCUUUCUCUUUGUUUUCGACAAUUUCCUCUUACUAGGAUUUCUGUCUCCUUGUACACAAAUUGCCUGUUUAUAGGCCUUCUUUCAAAAUUAAUACAACCUUCUUUCAAAA
RNAcentral lists this long non-coding RNA (511 nucleotides) under Lathyrus oleraceus (garden pea). RNAcentral's name for it is "Pisum sativum (pea) long non-coding RNA (PSAT_LNC036821)". The record is from RNAcentral. Lineage: Eukaryota; Viridiplantae; Streptophyta; Magnoliopsida; Fabales; Fabaceae.